This is a long non-coding RNA of Acanthopagrus latus (yellowfin seabream), 758 nucleotides long. RefSeq lists it as uncharacterized. The record is from RefSeq and is a predicted model, not a curated record. The transcript is spliced from 2 exons. Lineage: Eukaryota; Metazoa; Chordata; Actinopteri; Spariformes; Sparidae.
UCUACCAACAGCAGCCACAACAGAGCGGCUCUGGAGGCUGGGAGGAGAAGCAAAAACGGGAGACAACAGCUCCAAGUGCCUCAUCAGCAGCGCUGCAGCGCCAAGUGACAUCACUUCCUGUUCUGAUCAGUUCGGCAUGGAGACUUGUAUCAAGCCUGGCCGCCUGUGUGUCCUCUCUCCCUCGCAGCAGAUGUCCUCCCUCCGUUUCUUCCAGGAGCAGUGUUUGAGGAGGUGUAUCCAGGAAACAGUGGCCGGCGCUCACUUCCUGUGUGACAGGUGUGCGAUGGAGGCCUGACAGCUGCUGUCCUGCUCUCUCUUUCCCUCUCUGUAUUCCUCUCUCCUGUUUCUCCCUCUUUCCAGCCAGCUGCAGCAGAGAGCAGCUCUGUUUGUUCUUACGUCACCGUUGCUGCCUGCUGAUUUAUGGAGCACAAAAGACUUAGAUUUGACCCUGGCAACACACACACAUGCACGAACAGACAUACACACACAGACACACACACCGCAGCAACUGCAGCAUCUCCGUCCUUCCUCUUCAUAAGCCCCGGAGUCUUUACAUGUGCGUGAAUUGUGGCUGCCUAUUCUCCUCCUGGUGUCUCUCGCUCUUAUGCUUCGUGCACAGCUACAAACCUGACACUGAGCUGUCACUUGCAGCUAAGAUAGAAAAACAAACAGCAGAUUAGGCAUUCUCCUGCUUGAUGUCAUGUAUUUCAUUUCAUUCAGUGUUAAAUGUCUGCUCUGUCACUGUGGAGCUGUCAGCA